ACUUGGCCAGUUCUACCAAGGAGCAGGUGUCCUUCCAAUCUCGCUCUCGUGAGGAGCUCGGAUCCACGAUUAGAGAAAUGCUUCUGAUGGUAAGUUAUUUUUUCACUUCUCUUUGAGUUUGCUUUGUUUCUUUUCUUGACGAUUGUUCGUCCGUAUUAGGUGUCGGGCCUAUUUAUGGAGGUGGAUGCCCGUGACCUCUCUCUCCGGGAGUCCGUGGACCGCCGGAUCGAGGAAGCACGUCGCGAUGAAAACCUGGCUGCCACCAGCGACGCGAGGGGCCACCUGGCAGCCGCCCGGGAGCAGAU
Molecule: long non-coding RNA, 305 nt
Filed under: Manihot esculenta (cassava)
Lineage: Eukaryota; Viridiplantae; Streptophyta; Magnoliopsida; Malpighiales; Euphorbiaceae
Description: long non-coding RNA (MESC_LNC009865)
Source: RNAcentral